CUUCUUCAGUGCAUAAGAGCUGUCAAUGGUGCCCAUUGCUUAAGAUGUAAGGUUCAGGCCCCUGAGCUAGGCAUAUAAGGUUGACCUGGGACUCUAGUUCAGGGUCUUUCGUUGGCCAUGUCUGAAGGGGCUGGAUGCCGAAGGAGAGAGACGACUUUGCUUUCCAUAGAAUGGUUUGUGCUAUCUGACUCCCACAAGGCACCUUCGUUAACGGGUCCAUCAGUGGGCCUGGAGGCUGGGCAGCUGUCCUGAAACAGAAGAGUUGGGAAAGGCACUAAGAGACAG
RNAcentral lists this long non-coding RNA (285 nucleotides) under Homo sapiens (human). RNAcentral describes it as "HSALNT0155513". The record is from RNAcentral. Lineage: Eukaryota; Metazoa; Chordata; Mammalia; Primates; Hominidae.